AUCCAUUUGCAAUCUAUAAUAUUUUUGUUAUCUGGCCGUGGUACUAAAGUCCAAUUUUUUAUUUAAAAAUAGAGAAUUUAAUUGCACCUUCCCAAUGAACUCUAUCGUCUCGUGUUUUAAACUGAAAGAUCAUCAGAAUGUGCAUUUGGUUGUUCAAAUUCGACGAUGUCAUGGUUAGUUUUGCGAAUUUUCUGAGGAACUUCAUAAUCAUCAGAUUUACAGGUAUCUGAUUUAUAUCUGUCAGUUUUUUGAGACUUUAUUGACUUUGAAAUGUUGUCAAUGUUAACAUUAUCAUGAGAAUUUACUAUAUUCUCUUCAGGUCGCAACGCAGGCCUGGAUUGAAGUAAUUUGUCUCAUCUACUAUGACAUCUCUGACACUAAUAAAUAUUUCGCAUUUAGGAUUCCAAACUUUAUAACCGUUUGGUUCGUAUCCCACAAGAAUACCUUUCCAUGACUUAACAUCGAAUUUUGUCUUAUAUAACUUAUCAUGCACAUAAACUGUUGAACCAAAAAAAUUAAAAUAUUUUAUUUGUGGUUUUUUGUUAUGCCACAUUUACGAAUUCAAUCAUCAUCUUAAUAUCGUACAGGUCUACUGAGAAAUCACUGGAUGGUUGUUAAUAGUGCUUACUCAAAUAUACCUUAUUCAUUAACACCAUUUCUCUGACUGACCAGAGAUAUGAUGAAGUACACAUUAAGAAUAGGAAUACUAUAGAGAGAUAUACCGGCAGAAGUUUUAGUUCCAACACUUGAUACAGUUUCAAGUCAAGAAGUUAAUG
Pieris brassicae (large cabbage white) is the source of this 776-nucleotide long non-coding RNA. RefSeq lists it as uncharacterized. NCBI's taxonomy places the organism in Eukaryota, Metazoa, Arthropoda, Insecta, Lepidoptera, Pieridae. The record is from RefSeq and is a predicted model, not a curated record. The transcript has 3 exons.